CGCCCUUAGAGUUUGAUCCUGGCUCAGGAUGAACGCUAGCUACAGGCUUAACACAUGCAAGUCGAGGGGAAACGACAUCGAAAGCUUGCUUUUGAUGGGCGUCGACCGGCGCACGGGUGAGUAACGCGUAUCCAACCUGCCCACCACUUGGGGAUAACCUUGCGAAAGUAAGACUAAUACCCAAUGAUAUCUCUAGAAGGCAUCUGAAAGGGAUUAAAGAUUUAUCGGUGAUGGAUGGGGAUGCGUCUGAUUAGCUUGUUGGCGGGGUAACGGCCCACCAAGGCUACGAUCAGUAGGGGUUCUGAGAGGAAGGUCCCCCACAUUGGAACUGAGACACGGUCCAAACUCCUACGGGAGGCAGCAGUGAGGAAUAUUGGUCAAUGGGCGAGAGCCUGAACCAGCCAAGUAGCGUGCAGGAUGACGGCCCUAUGGGUUGUAAACUGCUUUUAUAAGGGAAUAAAGUGAGUCUCGUGAGACUUUUUGCAUGUACCUUAUGAAUAAGGACCGGCUAAUUCCGUGCCAGCAGCCGCGGUAAUACGGAAGGUCCGGGCGUUAUCCGGAUUUAUUGGGUUUAAAAGGAGCGUAGGCCGGAGAUUAAGCGUGUUGUGAAAUGUAGACGCUCAACGUCUGCACUGCAGCGCGAACUGGUUUCCUUGAGUACGCACAAAGUGGGCGGAAUUCGUGGUGUAGCGGUGAAAUGCUUAGAUAUCACGAAGAACUCCGAUUGCGAAGGCAGCUCACUGGAGCGCAACUGACGCUGAAGCUCGAAAGUGCGGGUAUCGAACAGGAUUAGAUACCCUGGUAGUCCGCACGGUAAACGAUGGAUGCCCGCUGUUGGUCUGAAUAGGUCAGCGGCCAAGCGAAAGCAUUAAGCAUCCCACCUGGGGAGUACGCCGGCAACGGUGAAACUCAAAUGAAUUG
This 921-nucleotide ribosomal RNA is filed under the name uncultured bacterium. RNAcentral's name for it is "bacterial SSU rRNA". It matches the Rfam family "Bacterial small subunit ribosomal RNA", at positions 1 to 912 of the family's 1533-position model. The record is from RNAcentral.